CUAUAAUACAAGGAAAUGCCAUAGAUGUUUAAAGGAGAUAUGGUGUUUAGCAAACUGUAGGUGUUCAAUUAAUGUUGAAAUAAAUUGUGUUAAACACAAUUCUAUGAUAUCCUAGAGGAGUGAGUGAAUAGGAUAGGGAGAGAACCGGUAAACAUUUUAUGCAGCACCUGACCCUGAAGCUCUUCAGUUGCAAGAACUCCACAAGGGAAACAGUGUGACUGAAGCCAGGAAUGGAGGCUCCCAAGAAAAAGGAUCUGCUGCAGCUGUGGAUCAUGUCAAACACAAGCCCUGAGACACGCUGUGGAUGUAUGAAGGAUUCUGUUCGGUCAGGGAACUUCUUACAACCUAUGUACAGAUGUGUCUGAAUUUAAUCCUUCAAGUAUUCGCAACUUUGAGAAAAUAAAACUUAACCUGCUGUGCAGAGCCCCUCUGCUCUCCCAGAAAUCAGCUGGUGGACAAAAAAGGGACAAACAGCAGCAGAAGAGACAACCACCUAAAUUAAAUAAUUGCAUCCUACAGAAAUCUUUCUUGCUCAUCUCCUAAUAUCAUCGACUACCUCUUUUAGAUGAAGCAUUGAACAUCUCUGCAUAUGUUUUAUCUGGGAAUAGUUGGCAAUGUCUGGAGACACAUUUGUCACAGCUGGGAAGUUCUAAUGGCAUCUCAUGUGUAGAGGACAGAGAAGCUGCUCAACAUCCUACAACUCACAGGAUGGCCCUCUCCAACAAGGAAUCAUCCAACAGCAAGUGUGGAUAGUGCUGAGGUAGACAAACUGUGGCUUAGACUGACUCAGUCUAUUCCAUUAGAUCCAGGUGACAGGGAAGUUUUGACGAGAUAGCCCUGGAGGAUGAAGAGAUGGAAAGGCCAGCUGAUGACUGGGCACACCUGUGUGGGGAAUUGGGGCCUGUGAUCCAAGGAGAAGUGCUGGCUAUCGGAGUCUGAAACAAACUUUGUUUACUUGUUAAUUUGGUCAAAGUAAUGGGAACAGGAUAUUCAGGAAAUCACAUGGCAACAGGGCAGGGCUCAGGCAAGAGACUAUUUUCGUGUUUCUUCUGAUGGUGAGCCUCACCAUAGGGAUGAAUGAUUACUUGGAAAAGCUGAGACAGAACAGGGAUGCCUCUUAGGGGCCUGCCGGCCUCCUGGCCCAAAGAUGAAAAUAAAGGAAAAUCUUGAGUUCCUUCAAGACAAAUUCCGGGCACCUAGCCCUGAGAAGUAAAUGAGCAACUUUAUAAGCAAGAAGGUAAGUAGCUUCAAACAACAGUUAAGGUCACAAGAUGUCUGCUUCCCUGCAGAAACUAAAGACAACGUAUGUCCCUAAGUUGUUUUUCAGAAACCUGGACCCCCACUAAAUGGAUUCACUGGCACAUAGACCUCUGAUAAGGGGGAACUGAAGACCACUGUUCUUUCUUUUAAAUGUUUUCCUGAGAGGCCUGGAGGAAGUCACACCCACGGGCCGGAGCUAGCAGUCUUUUCUGCUGAUUCCAAAUUUUUAGACAAAGUUUUGCUUCCCUAACCAAUCACAAAUCAGGAAAUCUUUCAGUCCACCCGUGACCUGUGGGCCCCCACUUUGAGAUGUCCCACCUUUUAAGUCAAACCAAUGUAUAGCCUCCAUGUAUUGGUUUAUGAUGCUGCCUGUAACCUCUGCCUGCCUGCUUUUAAAAACUUUACUGUGAGCCAUUGGGGUGUUUGGGUCUAAGCAUUAGCUGCCUGAUUCUCCUUGCUUGGAGCCCUGCAAUAAAUGCUCCACCUUCUCUCACUGCAUUCCCAUUGUCAGCAUUUGGUUUUGCUAUGCCAGGUAGGCAGACCCAAGUUUGAUUCAGUAACACAGCGGCAAGGUUCAGAGAUGUACUUUGGUUAAAGAAUAGACUGAGAUGGAUAUCCAGGCCUAUAUGUCUCAACAAGUUAGACACAAAGACACACACCUCCAUUUGUUACAUAACCUGUUUGUGUAAGUUCAUACUUGUCUCUGAACCACUAUUGUGUGUAAAAGGUAUAAUUGCCCUAUUGUCACUGUGCACGGGGCUCAACAUGACUCUUUGGUACAGACACUAGUGUCCAGAGAAAGAAAGAAAGCCAAAACUGUCCAUCUUACAGAUGGACAGAGGUGAACCACAACACAACUCACACUAGUGCCCUGAGAGAGAAAGAGUUAAACUACUGAUCCUGAAGACAAGGGAGAGCUGGCAGUGCAGCUACAGGCGUGGCGGUGGCCGGUGCCGCAGAGUCGGAGCAAACAGCCGAGAUAAAGAUCGACAGUGUGAAAGAACUAAUGGGAGUAAACUACUAAUGAGAAAAC
RNAcentral lists this long non-coding RNA (2293 nucleotides) under Homo sapiens (human). RNAcentral's name for it is "HSALNT0108139". The record is from RNAcentral. Lineage: Eukaryota; Metazoa; Chordata; Mammalia; Primates; Hominidae.